Molecule: long non-coding RNA, 651 nt
Filed under: Panax ginseng (ginseng)
Lineage: Eukaryota; Viridiplantae; Streptophyta; Magnoliopsida; Apiales; Araliaceae
Description: long non-coding RNA (PGIN_LNC002978)
Source: RNAcentral
UUUAAAAUUGGAUAUACAUAAUCUCUAUCAUAUAUACGGGUAAGAUUAAAAAGUCAAAAUCAACUACCACUAUUAUUAGUAAGACUAAAAUUUCUCAAUCUGCUACUAUAUAAUUGUAGCCAAUGCAUAUCAGAAAGGUUGGAAGAGUUUCUGAUCCCCUGCUACGCUAAAAUUAUCAUCGUGACGCUGCAAAAAUUCUUUAUGCAUACUGCGAAAGCAAAUUGGGGCAGUUAAUAGCCCUAAUCUCUAUUUAAGCAGUUAAUUGCGCGCAUAUUCUUGUAAAGCAUUGCAUGAAUAUGAGCUCCUUGUCUCUCCGAUCAACAAUAUUAGUACGAGUGAGUCGACAUGAGUGAGGCGGCACCUGGGGAUAGUUAUAGAGGGCGUAAGGCGGGGAAAGAGGUGUUGACGAGGCCAAUUCGAAGGCUUAAUUAGCUGGAUCGAGGUGGUGGAAUUUCACCAAGUCGCUUCUCUAUUAUGUAUGGGCUUGAAUUGUAUUGCUUGUCCAAUCCCCUGAUUGUUUUGGAGACAUGUUUGUUGACUAAAUGUAUUAGGAUACAAGGGAAACAUGAACGUAAAGCUGAUUCUUCAAAAAAAAAAAUUGUAUUUAAAGCUGAUGAUGUAAUAAUUCUGAUAUUUUCAGAAUGAUUGGGG